AACCUUUACACUGCACGACAGUGCGAUAAGGGAAUCCCAAGUGCGUAGGCAUAGAGCCUACGCUUUUGUCCACCGUAGGGAGGUGGACGAAUAAGGGGUGUGCGAGACCGGUGCCAGCCGCCGCGGUAAUACCGGCAGCCCGAGUGAUGGCCGAUCUUAUUGGGCCUAAAGCGUCCGUAGCUGGCCGCGCAAGUCUAUCGGAAAAUCCACCCGCUCAACGGGUGGGCGUCCGGUAGAAACUGCGUGGCUUGGGACCGGAAGGCGCGACGGGUACGUCCGGGGUAGGAGUGAAAUCCCGUAAUCCUGGACGGACCGCCGAUGGCGAAAGCACGUCGCGAAGACGGAUCCGACAGUGAGAGACGAAAGCUAGGGUCUCGAACCGGAUUAGAUACCCGGGUAGUCCUAGCCGUAAACAAUGCCUGCUAGGUGUGGCUCCCACUACGAGUGGGUGCUGUGCCGUAGGGAAGCCGCUAAGCAGGCCGCCUGGGAAGUACGUCCGCAAGGAUGAAACUUAA
RNAcentral lists this ribosomal RNA (515 nucleotides) under uncultured archaeon. Its description in RNAcentral is "bacterial SSU rRNA". It matches the Rfam family "Archaeal small subunit ribosomal RNA", at positions 345 to 859 of the family's 1478-position model. The record is from RNAcentral.